RNAcentral lists this long non-coding RNA (421 nucleotides) under Solanum tuberosum (potato). RNAcentral describes it as "long non-coding RNA (STUB_LNC006711)". Lineage: Eukaryota; Viridiplantae; Streptophyta; Magnoliopsida; Solanales; Solanaceae. The record is from RNAcentral.
AGACGUCAGAGACGAGAGAGACGAUACUGGCAUUCCGAUAAACACAGUGGUAGUAAACGAGAGUGCCGCAGAUGAUGAGUAUGAAGGGUACGGGACCACGCAAAUCCUUCUUCCUCCUAGGGUUUAUUGUCCUUCGAAUCUCCUCAUUAGCGUUCAAUUUUUCCAUGGUGCAGGUACUUUUUUGGUCUCUAAUGCCUCAAUUACAGUGGCGCUAGAUAUGGACGGGGGAUUUAUCGGUGAGUCAAUUCCGAACGCUGCGUCGUCUUCUCUAAGUUCUUCAAAAUCUGCUGGCUUAAUUGAGAUUAUUAUUGACAUAUUUUAUUCCAAAUGUUGUAUUCAAAGAGAAGCUUCUGAAGAAAACUGUCCAUGUCCAUUUCAUAACAGUUUCCAACAAAAAUAUUUCAAACAAAUUGAAACGGAG